RNAcentral lists this ribosomal RNA (537 nucleotides) under Triticum aestivum (bread wheat). Its description in RNAcentral is "partial small subunit ribosomal RNA". Lineage: Eukaryota; Viridiplantae; Streptophyta; Magnoliopsida; Poales; Poaceae. The record is from RNAcentral.
AUGGACCCCAACACUUGGGUUAGGGCAUAUCAACAAGAGUUCCCCAAGUGUGAUAUUCUUCUCAAUAAUGCUUGUGAAGUGUUUAACAAGUACAUUCUUGAGGCCAGAGAGCUCCCCAUAUUGUCAUUGAUCAUGACAAUAAAAAAGCAGUUGAUGACAAGGUUCUACAACAAGAGAGAGGAAGCAGAAACAUGGGAUGGCACUGUUCGCCCCAAAAUUAAGAAAAGACUUGAGAAGAAUGAUGAUUUGUCAGCUACAUGUCAUGCAUCAAAUGCAGGGGAUGGAAUAUUCCAGGUUGAUAACAAAGGGAGAUCUUACAUAGUGGACAUAAAAGCUUUAAGUUGUACUUGCAAAAGGUGGGACCUCAAUGGCAUACCAUGCCAUCAUUCUGUUGUUUGCUGCAAAGAUAAGAGAAUUGAGCCCGAGGACCUAGUUGACAAAUGCUACAUCAUUGCCUCAUUUCUGAAAGCCUACCAGCCUAUCAUCAUGCCAAAUAGAGAUGAGAGAGAGAGUGGGAAAAGAUGCAUGGUCCAGUGA